UCGCGCAAAAAUAAAUACAACAAUAUGUAUAAGUGAAACGGCAGAUGAAUUCUAAAUUUAAAAAAUCAUGUGACGUCAUACAAAUCCUUACAGAGUGAUUCCUUUUUUAAAUAUGUAUGUCAUAGUGAUUUCUAAGUUCUGUGUUAUUUUUUCCUGCCGCGGCAGGACGAUUUGAAAUUUCCUGAAGAAAACCUGUGAAAUAACUCUUUAGAUUAUUUUUUUAUACACAUUUAAUUUCUUUCGACGUCUAUGUAAUCUACGUAUGUGUUGAAUGUUAUGCGAUAAUAAAGUGAAACGUAAUAUGGCAGAUUUAAGGUAAAAUUAUUAUUAAGUGUUACGAAGAAAAGAAGAGGACUAUAUUUUUCUUGAGCCCCGGGUAAACGACCCCGCCUCGUUCAAUUCACGUGUGCUUGCUGGCGUACGACCUUCACAAAUCAGGCCUUGACCAAUACCCCAAAGAUGCUAUCCUAAUGGUUUUUAUGUGAUUUUAAAACAAGACUACAAUUGGAAAAACGAUGACAUCGUCGAGUGAUUAUUGUUGUAUUAUUAUCGUACCACUAGACAGAGUGCAAGACCUGCUCCAGCUAAAAGCCAACAAUUGGUGGGAGGUGGCAGGACAGUGAGCGCUGGAAUUUUAUUGUUUCGAAGACAAUUUUUGGGUCGCAGAGCCGGCGGAGUGAGUAAGCAUAACUUUUUAUGAGAAAGAAAAUAAACAAGCAGGCGAGCUAGCGAGGUUUGGACACCUUCAACACCUGGUGGACUGCAAGUGCAUUGCCAGCAUUAAAGGUGAGUCUUACCCCGAGAUAUCGACCAGGGUCAGCUGUCAGGGCCCCCAUUCGACUCCUGCGCAUCAUAAACACGCCAUUAGGAUGACGAGCACGGAGUUACAUGGCUACAUGACCUUAUCGAGAAUGUUUUAGAGUGUUUUCGAAUAUCUUAGAUCUGAGAAAUUUCAUAGAGAUUGUUCAUAAUAAAAAAUAAAUAAUUUCC
Molecule: long non-coding RNA, 990 nt
Organism: Pieris rapae (cabbage white)
Lineage: Eukaryota; Metazoa; Arthropoda; Insecta; Lepidoptera; Pieridae
Exons: 4
Source: RefSeq, a predicted model, not a curated record